AUAAAGUUUUAUUUUGACUUGAAUAAUUAAGUUAUUUACUAUUUAUAUGUAAAUUUUUGUGUGCUAAAAUAAAAAUUUUAAAAAUUAUAUUCUUAAGCGCAGUAUGUAAAUUUAAAAAUUUACGAAAGUAAGAUUUAGAGAUAAGUAAUAGUUUUGACCAAUCUUGUGCCAGCAGUAGCGGUUAUACGAGGGAUGCAAUUAUUUAUUAUUAAUUUAUAGUUUAUUGAAUAUUAGUUUUUUAUAAAAGUAUAAUUAUUAAGUGAAAUUUUUAUUUUAUAUUUAUAAUAAUUAAGAAUAUAUUUGAAGCUAUGAAAUUUUAGUAUUAAACUAGGAUUAGAUACCCUAUUAUUUUAAAAUGUUAAAUUGUAAUUAAGUUAGUAUUAGAUAUGAUCUUUAAAGCUUAAAAAUUUGGCGGUAUUUUAGUCUUUUCAGAGGAACCUGUCCUGUAAUCGAUAGUCCACGAUAAAUUGAGCUUAUUUUAAUUAGUUUGUAUAUCGUUGUAGUUGAGUAUUUCAUAAGAAUUUAAAUAUUCAUAAUUAAUAAUUAUUAUAUAAAUCAGAUCAAGGUGCAGCUUAUAAAUAAGAAUGAGAUGGGUUACAAUAAAUGUUAUUUAUUACGGAUUUGUGAUUGUAAAUUGCAAUAAAGGUGGAUUUGUAAGUAAUGGUAAAUAUUUUUUUAUUAUGAUUUUGGCUCUAAAAUAUGCACAUAUUGCCCGUCGCUUUCAAUUAAGUUGGAAUAAGUCGUAACAAAGUAGAUGUACUGGAAAGUGUUUCUGGAAA
This 779-nucleotide non-coding RNA is filed under the name Cercyon borealis. The record is from RNAcentral. Lineage: Eukaryota; Metazoa; Arthropoda; Insecta; Coleoptera; Hydrophilidae.